This is a long non-coding RNA of Homo sapiens (human), 2232 nucleotides long. Ensembl annotates it as ATP13A3 divergent transcript. Its record names the gene ATP13A3-DT. The record is from Ensembl. Lineage: Eukaryota; Metazoa; Chordata; Mammalia; Primates; Hominidae.
CCACCCUCGCCCCCGCCAAAACAAACAGACAAAAAACUGUCAUUCUCAUAUGACCACGGACUCUGCGCCCCGGCCGCAGGCGGAGGACAGGGAGGAGCGCACACGAGAAAGCUCCCACGCGCCCGCGCCUCGCCUCCGACGGGAAGGCGCCUCUUCCGACCGUCCUGGAUGCAAAUUAAAUACUUCCCUCCGCAGAAGACUUAUCUCGGGGUAGGGCCGCAGCCGGAUUUCCAAAUCGCGGGUUUGAUUUUCGCUGCGUCCUCUCCGCGACGCGCGCAGGGAGCGCGCCCGGCCACCUGCAGCCUCUGGCUGCGGCCAUCUUUCCGCCUGGGGCCACCUGGCCUGCGCCCUUUGUGCCCGGCCCGCUCCGUGACUGUUCUUCUUGCCGCUACUUACAGAACUCAGCCGCCUUAGCGUCUUAGAGAAGAGGACGGCAUGCAUGCGGACCCCGUCCACCACACCUGGAGAGCAGGGAGCCCUUAGUCCCUGGACACUUACCAGGGCCGCCACCCCUGGUCCACGCACGUGAUGACAUCUCACCAGGGGCAGCACACCGCCCGAGUCCGCGACACUGAUAACACCUCCUGCGGGCAGGAGGGCGCCACAGCCACCCCUGGUCCCCUAGAUUGUGUGAGGCUAGCAUUUCUGCCCGCCUCUUGGCGUGGACAGCACGCUGGACCGAGAUGGAACCACAGCUUUCUCUUCCCAAUCCCUGGCCUCACCGUUUUGUUUCAUACCUCACCGUUUGUUUCAAACCUCGUGGUGUUGAAAUGAUUAAAUGAGAUUAAGGGGUGUGUGGUAGUGUUGGGCAAACCACAAGAAAACGGUCUGGGUGGGGUCUGGCCCUAAAAUCUUCCUCCCCCACCUCCCAGGCUUCCUUGCCUUGCUGCUUCCUCUCAGCCUUUAAACAGGUUGGCCUCUCCAAGUCCUAAAAACAAAAUUAUCAAGCCAACCUCCUCCUGAAGUGCUCCCUCCAACUAGCUUCCAAGUGUUUCAUGCGGACCUCAAACAAUGGUCUUCCCUGGCUGCCUCUGCUUCCUCAUUUCUCAACACUUGGCAUUCUGGCUUCUCCUCCCCAACUCUAACCCUUCACCUUGCUCAGGCAAGAGCAACUCAUGACUUUCAUUUUGCCAAACCUUGCAGGCAUUCCUCAGGCCUUAUCUCUCUGGUUCUUUCUGCUACAUUUGACACCUUGGGAUGACUCUCACCUUCUGGAAUCUCUCUACUACCUUGGUUUCAGAAGAGUGAACCCUCUGGAUUAUCACAUGAAGCUACUUCCUGUGAGCAGCCCAGGGAUGGCCAGUCACUUGUGACCUACUUUCAGAGCUGGCAGUUCUGACUUCUAGAACAAACUCGGAACAAGCCCAUCUACAGCUGGUUGACUGAGUUUCCUUUGGGCUCCUGGCACCAGAAAGAAUUGCUCACUGGAAGGAUCAUAGGUGGCACUCAUGUCUCACUGCCCCACUCAGGGAGAUGGGGCCCCAUGGUUGUGCUUUAAGGAUGCUGUGGACUCCCUACAAUGUCAGCAACUGCUGUGUGCACCUGUAGCUCUCCAUUUCUCUCGAGAGAAGUCCUGUAGUUCUUCGCAAAUCCUUUUCAAAGGGGACUCGUGAUUCCAGAAGCAUCGAAGCCUUGAGGCUUGCCUGGAGAUUUUAGGUCUGGUGGCUGCAGAUGCAUAUGAGAUGUGGACUGCAAGAUAUUUCUCUACUGUUCAAAUCACGUGUUGGAGGCGACUCCCUAAAGUCAUAGGAUCUCAAAAUUGAAAGGAGCCUUAGGAAUAACCUAGUUUUCAGCACCGAAGCGAAGCUCUCAAGACUUUGUCAAAGGUCAGGCAGUUAACUUAAUGGCCGCAGGAAAAGCAAAGUCCAGGUCUCCCCUCUGCUUCUGCAAAGAACCGGUUCUGUUGGUCCAGUCGCUUGAGUUCCUACAUGAACCCAAAAAAACCAGUGAACAUCCUUCUGCAGGCUACAAAGCACUACGAUCUGCUUCCCUCCCUACCUCCUUCUCCUGACAUCCCCUCCUCCUGUCCUGCCCAGGUUCACUCCUCGCCCACCACGUGGUCUGCUUAGGGCUCCCACACAGCAAGCAUGUGCCCCCUUAGGGCCUGCGUCCUGGCUGCUCCCUCUCCUCGCUGCUCUUCCUCCCAGUACUCGGUUGGUUACUGCCCCAUCUUCGUCAAGCUGCCCACGUCUCACCUACUCCAUGUGAUUUACCCUGACCGCCCUGUUCAAC